GUGAAACAACUUGUAUUUUUAUAUGAAAUGUUUGACUUGAAAAAAACCCCACACUUUGAGUUUGAUUUAUAUGUCACUAUUUAUCAACAUUUGUUUUCAAUGAAAGUUCUUGCCGCAGUGAAGAUUAAGUAUACGCGGCGUGCGUCAGACGGUUCCUUGAACUUCACACAGUUACCUAAAAUAGACGAACGUGGCAAGGCGUCUGAGACAGUUUGGUGGCUUUGAGCUUAAAGCGAUGCUUAGUUAUUAUAGAAUGUUAUAUGACAGCAUAACCAGUAUCAUCUAGAUGGCUAUAAUUCUGUGGGCCAGAGAUAUUAUCAUUCAAAUGGCCAACACCAAAAAUCACCAAGUGACCAAUCCGGACACCCAGCAUUUGCGUCAACGAAGUAGUGCCCACCAUGGGACAUGAUUCUAAGCUUGAGAAGAUGGGCAGUUUUUGGAGAAGCACAAUGGCGGAGGCAAUACCAUUACCAUCAGCUUUAUGCAAAACACAUUUCAUAACACUUUCAGAUAAGAAACUCGUCUCGGAUAUGAAAGAAAAGCCCUAUUAACACUUCAUGCCAGCUAAAACGAGUUCAAGUUCUUGAAACUAAACUACAAUUUUUGAAUUCUAAUUUAUGCGCACACAUUUUGGCCAAAUCGAAUCAGUGAAUUUUUGCAAAUAAAACCAGCUACCAAACGAACAUUGAUUAGAAUCAACAAAAAUA
Drosophila yakuba is the source of this 707-nucleotide long non-coding RNA. RefSeq lists it as uncharacterized. Lineage: Eukaryota; Metazoa; Arthropoda; Insecta; Diptera; Drosophilidae. The record is from RefSeq and is a predicted model, not a curated record. The transcript is spliced from 2 exons.